Molecule: ribosomal RNA, 439 nt
Filed under: uncultured bacterium
Lineage: Bacteria
Description: bacterial SSU rRNA
Rfam family: Bacterial small subunit ribosomal RNA
Source: RNAcentral
ACGCGUGGAACCUUACCAGGUCUUGACAUCCCAUUGACCGCUAUGGAGGCAUAGCUUUCCCUUCGGGGACAGUGGUGACAGGUGGUGCAUGGUUGUCGUCAGCUCGUGUCGUGAGAUGUUGGGUUAAGUCCCGCAACGAGCGCAACCCUUGUUCUUAGUUGCCAUCAUUUAGUUGGGCACUCUAAGGAGACUGCCGGUGACAAACCGGAGGAAGGUGGGGAUGACGUCAAAUCAUCAUGCCCCUUAUGACCUGGGCUACACACGUGCUACAAUGGACGGUACAAACGGUUGCCAACCCGCGAGGGGGAGCUAAUCCGAUAAAACCGUUCUCAGUUCGGAUUGUAGGCUGCAACUCGCCUACAUGAAGCCGGAAUCGCUAGUAAUCGCGGAUCAGCAUGCCGCGGUGAAUACGUUCCCGGGCCUUGUACACACCGCCCGU